GGCGGCGUGCCUAACACAUGCAAGUCGAACGAGAAAGGGUAGCAAUACCUGAGUAAAGUGGCGCACGGGUGAGUAACACGUGACUAACCUACCCUGGAGUGGGGGAUAACUGAGGGAAACCUUAGCUAAUACCGCAUAAUACCCACGGGUCAAAGGAGCAAUUCGCUUCAGGAGGGGGUCGCGGCCGAUUAGUUAGUUGGCGGGGUAAUGGCCCACCAAGACGAUAAUCGGUAUCCGGCCUGAGAGGGCGCACGGACACACUGGAACUGAAACACGGUCCAGACUCCUACGGGAGGCAGCAGUGGGGAAUUUUGCGCAAUGGGGGAAACCCUGACGCAGCAACGCCGCGUGGAGGAUGAAGUCCUUCGGGACGUAAACUCCUUUCGAUCGGGACGAUNAUGACGGUACCGAGAGAAGAAGCCCCGGCUAACUUCGUGCCAGCAGCCGCGGUAAUACNAAGGGGGCGAGCGUUGUUCGGAAUUAUUGGGCGUAAAGGGUGCGU
Molecule: ribosomal RNA, 502 nt
Filed under: uncultured Acidobacteriota bacterium
Lineage: Bacteria; Pseudomonadati; Acidobacteriota
Description: bacterial SSU rRNA
Rfam family: Bacterial small subunit ribosomal RNA
Source: RNAcentral